CCGCAGCCCGGCCUGAGUGGAGCUCAUUUUUUUCAUUGCGGUUGGUAAAAUUUCUAUUGAUGGCAAAAAGUCGUUCGCAAUGAAAAAAAUAGCGGGAACGGAGGACGGAUA
This 111-nucleotide unclassified non-coding RNA is filed under the name Epilithonimonas lactis. Its description in RNAcentral is "Chryseobacterium halperniae Flavo-1 RNA". The record is from RNAcentral. Lineage: Bacteria; Pseudomonadati; Bacteroidota; Flavobacteriia; Flavobacteriales; Weeksellaceae.